Long non-coding RNA from Triticum aestivum (bread wheat), 2133 nucleotides. RefSeq lists it as uncharacterized. Lineage: Eukaryota; Viridiplantae; Streptophyta; Magnoliopsida; Poales; Poaceae. The transcript is spliced from 10 exons. The record is from RefSeq and is a predicted model, not a curated record.
UCUGAUCCGUGGCUCCGAUAAGUCGCUUUCCGUCAAAGCGAGUCAGCCUCGAAUUGAAUGCAUGCCGAGACCCGAGAGUCUUCUUCUCCAACGCGGCCGCCAUUCAGGUACUGUAACUCGCAAGGGAGAGGUCGAGGGAGUGGGAGAACAGGCGGCGGACACGCAUCAGAGUUCCUCAUGCAGCAAUCAGGAGAUCGACUCUGAUUGAAGAGGUUGGGGAGAGUCUGGUGCCGGGAGGUACGCCGGCGGAUGGUUCCAGGCGAACGUUGGUGGUGGUGGCGCUGCCGGAGGGCACAGGUGUUAGCGGCGAAGAGCGGAUCUGCAGGGCGUCUGGACCACCGGCAAUGGGCAGAGAUGGUCGAAUCUGUAGCGCGGCUCAAGCAGCAGUAGGUAGAAGGGACAGUUCGCCUCUGACUUCUGAGCUGUCGACGGAGAAGAUGAAUCCCCAGGCUUUGGAAUAAGAGGCUGAGAUUGGUACUGCUGCUCCUAGCAGGACCCCUUGCCCAACUCGCGUUAGCACAUUUGAGAAGGAAGUAGAGGUGUUCGUAUAAAACCCGACUGAAAAUGUUAUCACUCUGACGAUGGGUACUACUUUUGACUCGCUGGGUGAAGCACAAAAUCUCUACAACUUGUAUUCUUUGGAGAAGGGGCUUGGGAUUAUGUAUGGUAUAAAAGCCAACUCAAUGUUGAGAGCACGAAGUGUAUUCAAGAAAUUGUCUGCAAAUGCUCGGGAAAGCUGGCAUGGAGAACACGGUCAUGUCAUUGCGGAUGCCAGCGUGGAUAUGAAAAUUGUUUGCAGUCACGGAAAAUGGCAGCAGGUUUGAUGGUGUACACUUUAUGCAGUAAAAAGUUGAGGAGACAGAUCAUGAGAAGAAUGAGAAUUUAGGGCAGGAGAUUGUGGCCACCACUGAGAAAGAAGUAGGGACAGAACCAUUGGAUGGUACGAAUGUUUGCAGUGAGAUCUGAAGCUCGUGAAAGAGGAAAUUGUGCGCAUCAGUAAAUGAAAGACCAUCAGCCAGGGCUGGUCCAAUAAUUGGUCGGCGUAGCACCGCUGAAGAGCGUGGGAAGAAGAUACUUCAGGAGGAGUCAGGGAUGGAAUCUUCCGACAGUGAUGAAUACGGGGAACAUGGCACGGUAUCUCCGUAGGCAAGCGAAACGCAUGACCAUAGAGGAGGUGGGGAUCCAAAUUAUGAAUCCUGGAGGGGCCCGGGGCCCCGGGCAGUACGAACAUCAGCGCCUACAACUGUUAGUGUGAACAGGGGAGAUGCGCCUACAACUGUUAGUGUGAACAGGGGAGAUGCAGACGUGAAUAAUGUUGUACCACUUGUUCAGGACAAAAGAUAACAAUUGCCAGGUGAUGCUGGUUUACUGGAUGCUGUUCUGGAGGAGAUCAACGCGAUGCAUGUUCGUGCCUAAGAUAGUGGUCUGCCAGAUCCACUCUGAUUGAGGAGGUUGGGGAGAGUCUAGUGUUGGAAGAGUCGCUGGCUCAUGGCACCAGGCACACAGUGGUCGAGGUGACGCUGCAGGAGGCCACGGGUGUGAGCGCCAAAGGGCGGAUCUGCGGCGCAGCUGAAGCGGCGACAGUGACAAGGGGCAGCUCGCCUCCGACUUCCGAGCUGUCGACGGGAAGAUUAAUCCCCAGGCUCCUGGUUGGAACAAGAGGCACUGAGCUUCAAAUUAAGCUUGUGCAGCAUUGGAAGCUGUCCAAGGGAAUCACCGGGGACCGAGCCAAAGCCUUGCAGGGACUUUCCUCUUCUCCCUCCCCAAUCCCGCCGAUGCUCUCUUCAGUCCCUGCUCUGCCUCCUCCUCUUCUUCUCCCAGUCUAGUUGUUAAGAAAGUCUUGAAGGUUGUUAAGAAAGCCCGAAGAGUCUUGUCGUGAUUAUUCCGGCGGAGAUGAUGAUUCAAACAAGUUGUGAAGCUGUUGUUGGAGAAAUGUCACUGUGAAGCUCAUCAUUUUGUUCUGUUUUAUCAAUGUUUGCUGGGACAUGUCGAUCAUUUCCCUCCUGCAUGAGGUCGAACUAAUCUUUGUCCCGAAACUCGCGCACCUUGCACUCUGCUUCUCAACUUUCAACUGUCGAGCAAUGAUUUGUGUUACUCAUGUGUUUAAUUAUGAAUAGUACUAUUUGCCGUAUA